GACGAACGCUGGCGGCGUGCUUAACACAUGCAAGUCGAACGGGAGUAUCUAGAAAGCUUGCUUGAAGGAUACUUUAGUGGCGGACGGGUGAGUAACGCGUGAGGAGCUGUCCUAUGCAGGGGGACAACAGUUGGAAACGGCUGCUAAUACCCCAUAAGCCGAGAGGUAAAAGGAGCAAUCCGGCAGAGGAGGCACUCGCGUCCUAUCAGCUAGUAGGUUGGGUAAAGGCCGACCUAGGCGAAGACGGGUAGCCGGCCUGAGAGGGCGAACGGCCACACUGGAACUGAGAGACGGUCCAGACUCCUACGGGAGGCAGCAGUGGGGAAUAUUGGGCAAUGGGGGCAACCCUGACCCAGCGACGCCGCGUGGGUGAAGAAAUCCUUCGGGAUGUAAAGCCCUGUUGUAUGGGAAGAGCAGAAGACGGUACCAUACGAGGAAGCCCCGGCAAACUACGUG
This 456-nucleotide ribosomal RNA is filed under the name uncultured bacterium. RNAcentral describes it as "bacterial SSU rRNA". It matches the Rfam family "Bacterial small subunit ribosomal RNA", at positions 28 to 507 of the family's 1533-position model. The record is from RNAcentral.